GAUGAACGCUAGCUACAGGCUUAACACAUGCAAGUCGCAGGGUAACAUGAGGAAAGCUUGCUUUCCUUGAUGACGACUGGCGCACGGGUGAGUAACGCGUAUCCAACCUUCCCAUAACUACGGGAUAACCCGUUGAAAGACGGCCUAAUACCGUAUGAUAUCGUUUGCUGACAUCAAAUAACGAUUAAAGGUUUAGCGGUUAUGGAUGGGGAUGCGUCUGAUUAGCUUGUUGGCGGGGUAACGGCCCACCAAGGCGACGAUCAGUAGGGGUUCUGAGAGGAAGGUACACCACAUUGGAACUGAGACACGGUCCAAACUGCUACGGGAGGCAGCAGUGAGGAAUAUUGGUCAAUGGGCGAGAGCCUGAACCAGCCAAGUAGCGUGCAGGACGACGGCCCUAUGGGUUGUAAACUGCUUUUAUGUGGGGAUAAAGUGCGUGACGUGUCAUGCAUUGCAGGUACCACAUGAAUAAGGACCGGCUAAUUCCGUG
This 490-nucleotide ribosomal RNA is filed under the name uncultured bacterium. RNAcentral's name for it is "partial 16S ribosomal RNA". It matches the Rfam family "Bacterial small subunit ribosomal RNA", at positions 28 to 507 of the family's 1533-position model. The record is from RNAcentral.